This 502-nucleotide unclassified non-coding RNA is filed under the name Oncocalyx schimperi. Its description in RNAcentral is "sequence contains ITS1, 5.8S rRNA gene, ITS2". The stretch from base 233 to 388 matches the Rfam family "5.8S ribosomal RNA". Lineage: Eukaryota; Viridiplantae; Streptophyta; Magnoliopsida; Santalales; Loranthaceae. The record is from RNAcentral.
GUGAACCUGCGGAAGGAUCAUUGUCGAAACCUGCACAGCAGAGCGACCCGUGGACACGUUCGAUCGAUGGGCGGGGGAGGGCUCGCUCGCCCCCCGCCCACGCCGCCCCGCGGGCGGCGGACAACGAACUCGGCGCGAUCCGCGCCAAGGAAACUAAACCGAAAGGAGCAUGCGCCCGGGGGACGCCUCCGCGGCGUUCCCGCGGGACGCACCCCUGCGAUAGCAAUACAAUGACUCUCGGCAACGGAUAUCUCGGCUCUCGCAUCGAUGAAGAACGCAGCGAAAUGCGAUACCUGGUGUGAAUUGCAGAAUCCCGUGAAUCAUCGAGUCUUUGAACGCAAGUUGCGCCCGAGGCCUCCCGGCCGAGGGCACGCCUGCCUGGGCGUCACGCGUUGCGUCGCCCCGCAGCCCCUCCCCCCCACGGGACCGGGCUGAUCGGGGCGGAUGAUGGCCUCCCGCGCGCCCCCCGCGGCGGGCAUCGGUCGGCUCCCCUUGCGACCCC